UCCUACCCCAAAGUUCAUAAUAAUCAUUUUUAAACCCACACGAUAAGAUACAAAUUUAAGUACAAUUACCAAUCUAUUGAAACUGUUUCAAUAGAAAUCCUAUGAAGUCUCUAGAGCUAUUCUGUUUCAAGGAAGAAGAUGCCCAGACACUCCUUGGACAAAUAAAAUCCAUGGAUCCUAGAAUGCACCCUGGUUCGAAAUUAGUUCCUGUUGGUCUUAGCACGUGUGCUAGAUGUAAUUAAGAAGCUAAAGGAAUAUGUAGAAGAUUUGAAUAAAAAUAUAGAGAAGAUUGCUACAAGGGGGUGCGUGUCAAAAUAUGUCUUACCAGAUGAGAACUUUAGAGGGAAGUAUGUCUUUCAAUUUCCAAAUUUGCCCUUAUCUAUUUUUUAAAAUUAGUUUUCAUGCUUUAUGAGGGUGCUGUAAAUAUAAAAGUGGCAGGAACAGAUAUGAACAGCAAGAGCAGCCGGUCACAUAGUGUUUUCACCUACAAGAUGGAAAGUCAUUGGGAAAAGGAUUCCAUGACUCACCUUCGGUUUGGAAGGUUAAAUUUGGUAGACUUGGCGGGUUCUCAAAGGUAAUUUGGUAGCUUAAACCAUUGAGCUAAUUAUGAUGCGAUCCUUUGUUUAUUUGUUUUCAGAGGUCAAGUAUUGCUAUCAACCAAUUAAAAUUUCGUUCACCAAUGGCGUAAUUAAGAUUACAAACACCAAUUUCUUUCAAACAACAGAAGAUCUAGAGUUUAAUUGGGUGAUUAAAGGUGAUUUUGGUUCUUGAAACGAGACUCAAGAUAUCAUAUUUUCGCAUGGCUAGAAGCUUUGGAGGAAAUGACACUCAAGCAAGAGUAAACACACAGAGACUUGUUGGCACAUAGUAAGCUAGAUGAUGCAAUUGUAUAUAAAUGAGUUCAUUUUUUUAUAACAUGAUUUACUCACUUUUGGAAUAAUUAUUUGUAUUUGACAUAUUAGUGA
This is a non-coding RNA of Lactuca sativa (garden lettuce), 965 nucleotides long. The record is from RefSeq and is a predicted model, not a curated record. NCBI's taxonomy places the organism in Eukaryota, Viridiplantae, Streptophyta, Magnoliopsida, Asterales, Asteraceae.